Molecule: ribosomal RNA, 366 nt
Filed under: uncultured bacterium
Lineage: Bacteria
Description: bacterial SSU rRNA
Rfam family: Bacterial small subunit ribosomal RNA
Source: RNAcentral
GAAGGGUGCAAGCGUUACUCGGAAUUACUGGGCGUAAAGCGUGCGUAGGUGGUUUGUUAAGUCUGAUGUGAAAGCCCUGGGCUCAACCUGGGAAUUGCAUUGGAUACUGGCAGGCUAGAGUGCGGUAGAGGAUGGCGGAAUUCCCGGUGUAGCAGUGAAAUGCGUAGAGAUCGGGAGGAACAUCUGUGGCGAAGGCGGCCAUCUGGACCAGCACUGACACUGAGGCACGAAAGCGUGGGGAGCAAACAGGAUUAGAUACCCUGGUAGUCCACGCCCUAAACGAUGCGAACUGGAUGUUGGGAGCAAUUAGGCUCUCAGUAUCGAAGCUAACGCGUUAAGUUCGCCGCCUGGGGAGUACGGUCGCAA